GAUGAACGCUGGCGGCGUGCUUAACACAUGCAAGUCGAACGGAAAGGCCCUGCCUUUGGGGGGUGCUCGAGUUGCGAACGGGUGAGUAACACGUGAGUAACCUGCCCUUGACUUUGGGGUAACUUCAGGAAACUGGGGCUAAUAACGGAUAGGAGCUCCUGCUGCAUGGUGGGGGUUGGAAAGUUUCGGCGGUUGGGGAUGGACUCGCGGCUUAUCAGCUUGUUGGUGGGGUAGUGGCUUACCAAGGCUUUGACGGGUAGCCGGCCUGAGAGGGUGACCGGCCACAUUGGGACUGAGAUACGGCCCAGACUCCUACGGGAGGCAGCAGUGGGGAAUAUUGCACAAUGGGCGGAAGCCUGAUGCAGCAACGCCGCGUGCGGGAUGACGGCCUUCGGGUUGUAAACCGCUUUCGCCUGUGACGAAGCGUGAGUGACGGUAAUGGGUAAAGAAGCACCGGCUAACUACGUG
This 468-nucleotide ribosomal RNA is filed under the name uncultured bacterium. Its description in RNAcentral is "partial 16S ribosomal RNA". It matches the Rfam family "Bacterial small subunit ribosomal RNA", at positions 28 to 507 of the family's 1533-position model. The record is from RNAcentral.